UACGUAGGGGGCAAGCGUUGUCCGGAUUUAUUGGGCGUAAAGAGCGUGUAGGCGGCCAAGCAGGUCCGCUGUGAAAACUCGAGGCUCAACCUCGAGACGUCGGUUGAAACCGUCUGGCUAGAGUCCGGAAGAGGAGAGUGGAAUUCCCGGUGUAGCGGUGAAAUGCGCAGAUAUCGGGAAGAACACCCGUGGCGAAGGCGGCUCUCUGGGACGGUACUGACGCUGAGACACGAAAGCGUGGGUAGCAAACAGG
This 253-nucleotide ribosomal RNA is filed under the name uncultured bacterium. RNAcentral's name for it is "partial 16S ribosomal RNA". It matches the Rfam family "Bacterial small subunit ribosomal RNA", at positions 524 to 776 of the family's 1533-position model. The record is from RNAcentral.